RNAcentral lists this transfer RNA (192 nucleotides) under Lupinus albus (white lupine). RNAcentral describes it as "hypothetical ncRNA". The stretch from base 60 to 131 matches the Rfam family "tRNA". The record is from RNAcentral. Lineage: Eukaryota; Viridiplantae; Streptophyta; Magnoliopsida; Fabales; Fabaceae.
GUCGUUCGUCUCAAGUGAUACGUUAAUUGCUCAGUAGUGCUUCGCCACUACCGUAGCUGGCGGAAAUAGCUUAAUGGUAGAGCAUAGCCUUGCCAAGGCUGAGGUUGAGGGUUCAAGUCCCUCUUUCCGCUCUUGGCUUCGUCAUUUAGUGGUAACGAGUAGAGUAGGCAUCGCCUCUCGAUCCAAUCCGUC